GAUGAAGAACGUAGUGAAAUGCGAUAAGUAAUGUGAAUUGCAGAAUUCAGUGAAUCAUCGAAUCUUUGAACGCACAUUGCGCCCGCCAGUAUUCUGGCGGGCAUGCCUGUUCGAGCGUCAUUUCAACCCUCAGGUCCCCCUUUUCGGAGGGGGAGACACCCUGGUGUUGGGGGACGGCAUCCUGGCCCGCUGUCUCACAGUGUGCCACGCCGCCCCCGAAAUGAAUUGGCGGCCUCGUCGCGUGCCACCCCUGCGUAGUAGCACAACCUCGCAACGGGAGCCCGACGCGGCCACUGCCGUAAAACGCCCAACUUUUACCGAGUUGACCUCGAAUCAGGUAGGAAUACCCGCUGAACUUAAGCAUAUCAUAAGCGGAGGA
Molecule: unclassified non-coding RNA, 379 nt
Filed under: soil metagenome
Description: partial contains 5.8S ribosomal RNA, internal transcribed spacer 2, and large subunit ribosomal RNA
Rfam family: 5.8S ribosomal RNA (bases 1-120)
Source: RNAcentral